Molecule: ribosomal RNA, 465 nt
Filed under: Vreelandella stevensii
Lineage: Bacteria; Pseudomonadati; Pseudomonadota; Gammaproteobacteria; Oceanospirillales; Halomonadaceae
Description: partial 16S ribosomal RNA
Rfam family: Bacterial small subunit ribosomal RNA
Source: RNAcentral
CCUACGGGUGGCUGCAGUGGGGAAUAUUGGACAAUGGGGGCAACCCUGAUCCAGCCAUGCCGCGUGUGUGAAGAAGGCCCUCGGGUUGUAAAGCACUUUCAGUGAGGAAGAACGCCUGGUGGUUAAUACCCAUCAGGAAAGACAUCACUCACAGAAGAAGCACCGGCUAACUCCGUGCCAGCAGCCGCGGUAAUACGGAGGGUGCGAGCGUUAAUCGGAAUUACUGGGCGUAAAGCGCGCGUAGGUGGCUUGAUAAGCCGGUUGUGAAAGCCCCGGGCUCAACCUGGGAACGGCAUCCGGAACUGUCAAGCUUGAGUGCAGGAGAGGAAGGUAGAAUUCCCGGUGUAGCGGUGAAAUGCGUAGAGAUCGGGAGGAAUACCAGUGGCGAAGGCGGCCCUCUGGACUGACACUGACACUGAGGUGCGAAAGCGUGGGCAGCAAACAGGAUUAGAUACCCCAGUAGUC